GAACGAACGCUGGCGGCAGGCUUAACACAUGCAAGUCGAGCGCCCCGCAAGGGAGCGGGCAGACGGGUGAGUAACGCGUGGGAACGUACCCUUUACUACGGAAUAACGCAGGGAAACUUGUGCUAAUACCGUAUGUGCCCUUUGGGGGAAAGAUUUAUCGGUAAAGGAUCGGCCCGCGUUGGAUUAGCUAGUUGGUGGGGUAAAGGCCUACCAAGGCGACGAUUCAUAGCUGGUCUGAGAGGAUGAUCAGCCACAUUGGGACUGAGACACGGCCCAAACUCCUACGGGAGGCAGCAGUGGG
This 301-nucleotide ribosomal RNA is filed under the name Mesorhizobium sp. OUT30019. RNAcentral's name for it is "bacterial SSU rRNA". It matches the Rfam family "Bacterial small subunit ribosomal RNA", at positions 27 to 358 of the family's 1533-position model. The record is from RNAcentral. Lineage: Bacteria; Pseudomonadati; Pseudomonadota; Alphaproteobacteria; Hyphomicrobiales; Phyllobacteriaceae.